GUGCUUGCUUCAGCAGUAAGUACAUAUGCUAAAAUUGGAACAAUAUAAAUUAGCAUGGUUCCUGUGCAAGGAUGACAUGCAAAUUCACAAAGCAUUCCAUAUUUUC
Small nuclear RNA from Gracilinanus agilis (Agile Gracile Mouse Opossum), 106 nucleotides. NCBI's taxonomy places the organism in Eukaryota, Metazoa, Chordata, Mammalia, Didelphimorphia, Didelphidae. The record is from RefSeq and is a predicted model, not a curated record.